GGGUUGUGAGGUUAAGCGACUAAGCGUACACGGUGGAUGCCCUGGCAGUCAGAGGCGAUGAAGGACGUGCUAAUCUGCGAAAAGCGUCGGUAAGGUGAUAUGAACCGUUAUAGCCGGCGAUGUCCGAAUGGGGAAACCCAGUGCAAUUCGUUGCACUAUCGUUUGAUGAAUACAUAGUCAAACGAGGCGAACCGGGGGAACUGAAACAUCUAAGUACCCCGAGGAAAAGAAAUCAACCGAGAUUCCCCCAGUAGCGGCGAGCGAACGGGGAGCAGCCCGGAGUCUGAAUCAGCUUGUGUGUUAGUGGAAGCGUCUGGAAAGUCGCAGGGUACAGGGUGAUACUCCCGUACACUAAAACACACAGGCUGUGAACUCGAAGAGUAGGGCGGGACACGUGGUAUCCUGUCUGAAUAUGGGGGGACCAUCCUCCAAGGCUAAAUACUCCUGACUGACCGAUAGUGAACCAGUACCGUGAGGGAAAGGCGAAAAGAACCCCGGCGAGGGGAGUGAAAAAGAACCUGAAACCGUGUACGUACAAGCAGUAGGAGCCUCUUUAUGGGGUGACUGCGUACCUUUUGUAUAAUGGGUCAGCGACUUAUAUUCUGUAGCAAGGUUAACCGUAUAGGGGAGCCGCAGGGAAACCGAGUCUUAACUGGGCGUUAAGUUGCAGGGUAUAGACCCGAAACCCGGUGAUCUAGCCAUGGGCAGGUUGAAGGUUGGGUAACACUAACUGGAGGACCGAACCGACUAAUGUUGAAAAAUUAGCGGAUGACUUGUGGCUGGGGGUGAAAGGCCAAUCAAACCGGGAGAUAGCUGGUUCUCCCCGAAAGCUAUUUAGGUAGCGCCUCGUGAACUCAUCUUCGGGGGUAGAGCACUGUUUCGGCUAGGGGGUCAUCCCGACUUACCAACCCGAUGCAAACUACGAAUACCGAAGAAUGUUAUCACGGGAGACACACGGCGGGUGCUAACGUCCGUCGUGAAGAGGGAAACAACCCAGACCGCCAGCUAAGGUCCCAAAGUCAUGGUUAAGUGGGAAACGAUGUGGGAAGGCCCAGACAGCCAGGAUGUUGGCUUAGAAGCAGCCAUCAUUUAAAGAAAGCGUAAUAGCUCACUGGUCGAGUCGGCCUGCGCGGAAGAUGUAACGGGGCUAAACCAUGCACCGAAGCUGCGGCAGCGACACUAUGUGUUGUUGGGUAGGGGAGCGUUCUGUAAGCCGUUGAAGGUGGCCUGUGAGGGUUGCUGGAGGUAUCAGAAGUGCGAAUGCUGACAUAAGUAACGAUAAUGCGGGUGAAAAACCCGCACGCCGGAAGACCAAGGGUUCCUGUCCAACGUUAAUCGGGGCAGGGUGAGUCGACCCCUAAGGCGAGGCCGAAAGGCGUAGUCGAUGGGAAACAGGUUAAUAUUCCUGUACUCGGUGUUACUGCGAAGGGGGGACGGAGAAGGCUAUGUUGGCCGGGCGACGGUUGUCCCGGUUUAAGCAUGUAGGCGGAUGUUCCAGGUAAAUCCGGAACGUUAUAACGCUGAGGUGUGAUGACGAGGCACUACGGUGCUGAAGUGACAAAUGCCCUGCUUCCAGGAAAAGCCUCUAAGCAUCAGGUAACAUCAAAUCGUACCCCAAACCGACACAGGUGGUCAGGUAGAGAAUACCAAGGCGCUUGAGAGAACUCGGGUGAAGGAACUAGGCAAAAUGGUGCCGUAACUUCGGGAGAAGGCACGCUGAUAUGUAGGUGAAGUGGUUUACCCAUGGAGCUGAAAUCAGUCGAAGAUACCAGCUGGCUGCAACUGUUUAUUAAAAACACAGCACUGUGCAAACACGAAAGUGGACGUAUACGGUGUGACGCCUGCCCGGUGCCGGAAGGUUAAUUGAUGGGGUUAUCCGUAAGGAGAAGCUCUUGAUCGAAGCCCCGGUAAACGGCGGCCGUAACUAUAACGGUCCUAAGGUAGCGAAAUUCCUUGUCGGGUAAGUUCCGACCUGCACGAAUGGCGUAAUGAUGGCCAGGCUGUCUCCACCCGAGACUCAGUGAAAUUGAACUCGCUGUGAAGAUGCAGUGUACCCGCGGCAAGACGGAAAGACCCCGUGAACCUUUACUAUAGCUUGACACUGAACACUGGUCCUUGAUGUGUAGGAUAGGUGGGAGGCUUUGAAGUGUGGACGCCAGUCUGCAUGGAGCCAUCCUUGAAAUACCACCCUUUAAUGGCUGGUGUUCUAACGUGGGCCCCUAAUCGGGGUUGCGGACAGUGUCUGGUGGGUAGUUUGACUGGGGCGGUCUCCUCCUAAAGAGUAACGGAGGAGCACGAAGGUCAGCUAAUCCUGGUCGGACAUCAGGAGGUUAGUGCAAUGGCAUAAGCUGGCUUGACUGCGAGCGUGACGGCGCGAGCAGGUGCGAAAGCAGGUCAUAGUGAUCCGGUGGUUCUGAAUGGAAGGGCCAUCGCUCAACGGAUAAAAGGUACUCCGGGGAUAACAGGCUGAUACCGCCCAAGAGUUCAUAUCGACGGCGGUGUUUGGCACCUCGAUGUCGGCUCAUCACAUCCUGGGGCUGAAGUAGGUCCCAAGGGUAUGGCUGUUCGCCAUUUAAAGUGGUACGCGAGCUGGGUUUAGAACGUCGUGAGACAGUUCGGUCCCUAUCUGCCGUGGGCGCUGGAGAAUUGAGGGGGGCUGCUCCUAGUACGAGAGGACCGGAGUGGACGCAUCACUGGUGUUCGGGUUGUCAUGCCAAUGGCAUUGCCCGGUAGCUAAAUGCGGAAGAGAUAAGUGCUGAAAGCAUCUAAGCACGAAACUUGCCCCGAGAUGAGUUCUCCCUGACUCCUUGAGAGUCCUGAAGGAACGUUGAAGACGACGACGUUGAUAGGCCGGGUGUGUAAGCGCAGCGAUGCGUUGAGCUAACCGGUACUAAUGAACCGUGAGGCUUAACCUUACAACGCCGAAG
Molecule: ribosomal RNA, 2927 nt
Filed under: Klebsiella sp. Kd70 TUC-EEAOC
Lineage: Bacteria; Pseudomonadati; Pseudomonadota; Gammaproteobacteria; Enterobacterales; Enterobacteriaceae
Description: bacterial LSU rRNA
Rfam family: Bacterial large subunit ribosomal RNA
Source: RNAcentral